RNAcentral lists this ribosomal RNA (549 nucleotides) under uncultured Glomus. RNAcentral describes it as "SSU rRNA". It matches the Rfam family "Eukaryotic small subunit ribosomal RNA", at positions 548 to 1098 of the family's 1831-position model. Lineage: Eukaryota; Fungi; Glomeromycota; Glomeromycetes; Glomerales; Glomeraceae. The record is from RNAcentral.
UUGGAGGGCAAGUCUGGUGCCAGCAGCCGCGGUAAUUCCAGCUCCAAUAGCGUAUAUUAAAGUUGUUGCAGUUAAAAAGCUCGUAGUUGAAUUUCGGGAUCAAUAUAUCGGUCGUGCCAUCGGUACGUACUGGUAUGAUUGGUUUCUCCUUUCUGACGAACCAUGAUGUCAUUAAUUUGGUGUUAUGGGAAGUUAGGACUGUUACUUUGAAAAAAUUAGAGUGUUUAAAGCAGGCUUUAGCUUGAAUACAUUAGCAUGGAAUAAUGAAAUAGGACGUUCGAACCUAUUUUGUUGGUUUCUAGGAUCAACGUAAUGGUUAAUAGGGAUAGUUGGGGGCAUUAGUAUUCAAUUGUCAGAGGUGAAAUUCUUGGAUUUAUUGAAGACUAACUACUGCGAAAGCAUUUGCCAAGGAUGUUUUCAUUAAUCAAGAACGAAAGUUAGGGGAUCGAAGACGAUCAGAUACCGUCGUAGUCUUAACCAUAAACUAUGCCGACUAGGGAUCGGACGAAGUUAAUUUUAUAAUGACGCGUUCGGCGCCUUACGGGAAAC